CACAAUUUUUAACAGUUCAAAUUACAACCCAAAAUAUUACAAAACCCAAAUAACCAGCUCAAAUCAGAAAUCCCAAAUACAAAUGGCCAAGUAUCUCUCAAGCCCAAAUCAACUAAACCCCAAUGGCCCGAUACCCAAAAAUAAAAUAAACCUAGCCCAACAAAUACAAGGCCCGAUAGGCCCAAAUAGUUAACACUCUCAGGAACCCUAGGGUUCCCUCACGCCGGUUCAGCAACCUCCAGUGCCACCACCGCUUGCGCCUCCACUUCGACAUGCUCGUACAGCUUCCGUACUUCAAUACCUGCAGACAAAACAAAUGCCACAACAGCAAAUAGAAACAAAAACAAAACGAAUUGUAAAAAGAUUAUUCGGCUAUAAAAGCCCCACAAAACACAAAUGUAUUUUUUACGCACACAAUAGCAAUCAAAAAUCCAAUUUUAAAGUUGAAAAAGGUGUUUCCUUUUUUCUUUUUGAUUCCUUUAUUUUCUUUUUUACUUCGUUUUCUGCUUUAUUUUCAUUUAAAAAAGAAUAAUAAACAAAAAAAUAUAUAAAAAGAGAGGUCGAAACUACCUGGCCAUUCGUGUUGCGUCGCCGUUGGUGGAAGAGGUUUGUCGUUUCCGAUGAAAAACGACCUCUUAGGGGUUCGGGGAUUCAAAAGGCAAAAGAAAAAGGAUUUUUUUUAUUUUUCCGGCCAUCGUGGAUGGCGGCGCCGUCGCCGGUGACUGGUGGCCGCCACGGUGACCACUUGCCAGAACCCUAGGCUGUAGGGGUGUGCAUUAGUCGGUUAAAACCGAAUUUUUUCGGUUAACCGACCGAGUUCGGUUAAUCGGUCGGUUAACCGAAAAAAUUCGGUCGGGGGUCGGUUAAGGUUUUUUUGUUUGUUCGGUUAACGGUUAAAUCGGUUCGACACGGGUCGGUUAACCGAAAAAAUUCGGGUAAACCGAAUUUACACCCUAGGCCUACUCCCUCCCAAUUUAAAACCCAGCCCAAUUUAAAUCCAGCCCAAUUUUCUCUUAGGCUUACCAAAUAGGUCCAUUACCGUUUGGUCCAUUUCUCAUCUCAACAGGCAGCAGCAAACAACACCCCUCUUCUCCCUAAUUUCACAAUUUUCAUUUUUCACUUUCACUUUCAGUCACUCUCACUCUCACGACUCACACACACAAUCCGUCAGUCCCAACACCCGUAGGCCAUAGCCGGUAGCCUUGAAUCUCAGCCUCAGUCUUAACACCCAACACCCGACAUUCUCAAGCCCAGUCAACACUCGAUAGAAGAAUCGGGAGUCGCCAGAGUCACUGAGUACCAGGUUUGCUUUCUUCUAACUUCAUCUUAACCAAUGAUAUCCAUGAUUGCUGUCUUCUUUUGUACAUAUGAACACUUAAGGUAUAUAUAUUAUGUAAUUAAUCAUUUACAAGCAACUAUGUAAAAAAAAAACCCUAAACAGUAAAAAUGGUAAACAUACAUGAAAAAUUUUAAACAUCCAGUGCACAAAUCAUCUUGUAAAUACAAGUAUACAACGAAAAAUUUAGAAACCUUACCUAAAAUUUGUCUUUCUCCAUUUUGUCUCCCUGCGCUUUUGAAAUAACCAAAUGUUGGUUGCUUUCCAUUAAACCUCCAGGCUCCACGAAUUGAAUAAAUAAAUUUUCAGUUUAUCUUUUUUGUCUCUUUGUGGGUAUAUCUUUUUUUGGUUUUAAAUUUUUCGGUGAAUUGAAUUAAAUUCCUUCAGCAUUUUUUUUUCUAACCCAAUAAAUAUAGUUAAUUGUUUUAAUUACUUAGCUUAGAAAGCCCUUCCUUUUUAAGGACAUUGAGAAAGCCACUAAAUAUAAUUUUCUGUGAUCAUUAAUGAGUUAAUUUUUUUUAAUAGUCAUGAUCCUAAAAUAAAUAAAUAUUAAAAUUUAAAUUAUUGAAUAUAUUGUAAUUAAUGUAUAUUAUAAUUAAUGUAAGAAAAAAAAUGAUCAGUUGGCUGUAAUUAAUGUAAGAAUCGAUUUCAUUUUUUAAUUAAUUUGCAACUUAUUUCAUUUUCAACAUAAUUUUACAACAGAAUCGAUUUGACCAGGUAACUUUUGUUGAAAAUUGAGACAUUCUACUUCACUCUUUCUAAAAAUUCAACUAUACAAUAAUUAAUGUACUAGCACGAUACUAGGACAACAAGUCUGAAACGAUUUUAAGAAAACUAACUUAGCAGUACAAUAAUUAAUGUACAGCAUGAUACUAAUACAGCAAUUCUGAAGUGACAGACCACAACAUACUGAUUACAUUAAUCUCAGAACAUUGCAAUGAAAAACAACAUGGAUCUUGGUUAAAUUGCAAUUUAUGUUCACUUAAUAAUUCCUUUUGCAGCUCUGCUGAACAAGUUGUAAACCUGCUUUGAUGAAAGACCAAUCUUUUCCAAGUCACUUAGCUGCAAAAAACAGACAGCUUACCUACCUUCACUCAUAAUUCAAAAAACUUGUUUAAAUUAGCAUAGAAAAGCUUUUCUUACCGAUUUUAAAGGGCUUGUUUCUCUAACUUGGUAGAUGCGAACAACAUAUAUCUAGAAACCAUAACAUAAAUUUAAUAAUUUUAGUGUUUUGAUAUCUUAACUAAACUUGUAUAUGUUUGAUACUUUAAUUAUUCAUCUAAACCUUAAUUUUGUAAUGGGUUAAACUAAACUUGUAUAUGAUGCUCUUGAUCUUGCAGAAUGUCAACCAAACCAACAUCUAUUGAGGGUAGUGUUACACCUCCUACUUCGAUAGAUUCUGAAAAUUCGGGAGUUGGAGCUUCAAUCCAAACAAAGGGGACUACUGGGAAAAGAAAAGCCCCUCCUCAAAGGUCAGAAGUUUGGUCUCACUUCACUAAGUUUAUUAAUAGUGAGGGUGCAAGUAAGGCUAAAUGUAAUUAUUGUGAAAAGGAAUUUUGUUGUGAUAUGAAAAAAAAUGGUACGGGGUCAUUGAAAUAUCAUAUUGGUUCAUGUAAGAAAAAUCCUAGUAAUGUUGUUGACACUAGUCAAGGACAACUAGUUUUACCUAGAAAGGGAGUUGAAGGGGGGAAGGGAAUAUUUCAACUUGGAGAUUUGAUCAAGAAGCAUGUAGGAAAGGAUUAGCACAAAUGAUUUUGAUUGAUGAAUUACCUUUCAAGUUUGUUGAAAGUGAAGGUUUUAAGAAAUUUAUGUUUGUGGCAUGUCCUAGGUUUCAUAUUCCUUCACGAACUACUAUGACUAGGGAUGUUUAUCAAUUGUAUCUAGAUGAAAGGGUCAAGAUAAAACAACUUCUGAGAAGUUCUUGUUCUAGAGUUUGCUUAACUACUGAUACAUGGACAUCUUUGCAAAGAGUUAAUUAUUUGUGUCUCACUGCUCACUUUAUUGAUAACGAUUGGAAAUUGAAUAAAAAGAUUUUAAACUUUUGUCCAAUUUCUAGUCAUAAGGGUGAGUCCAUUGGGAUGGUGAUUGAGAAAUGCUUGUUGAAUUGGGGGAUUGAUAAGUUGUUUACUGUUACUGUUGAUAAUGCAAGUUCAAAUGAUGUUGCUAUUGGUUAUUUGAGAAAGAAAUUUAACCCUCGAGGGGGUUUAGUUCAAAAUGGUAAAUAUCUUCAUAUGAGAUGCAUGGCACACAUUGUGAAUUUGAUUGUUGUUGAAGGCUUAAAGGAAAUGAAUAAAUCUGUUGAACGUGUUAGGGGGGCUGUUAGAUAUGUGAGACAAUCUCCAGCUAGAUUACAAAAGUUUAAGGAGUGUGUUGUGGUGGAAAAGAUAGAGUGCAAGAAGAUGUUGUGUCUUGAUGUUUGUACUAGGUGGAACUCGACCUACUUAAUGUUAGACACUGCUCAGAACUUUGAGAGAGCUUUUGAGAGAUUUGAGGAGCAAGAUACAAAUUUUAGGGCUGAACUUGAAAGGGGAGAGGGUUGGCCUAGUGUGGAUGAUUGGGAUAAUGUUAGAAACUUGAGGGAUUUCUUGGAACACUUUUAUGAAGUCACUUUGCGUAUAUCUGGCACUUCAUAUGUCACGUCCAAUAAUUUUUUUGAUGAGCUUUCCGAAAUUGAUAUUCUUUUACGUGAUGCUCAGUUAAAUAGUAAUAUUGAUUUCAAUGUUAUGGCCAUCAAGAUGAAAGAGAAGUAUGAUAAGUAUUGGGGUGAUAUUGAUAAGAUGAAUUUGCUUAUGUUUGUUGUUGUGUUUUAGAUCCUAGACAAAAACUAAAGUAUCUUGAAUUUGCACUUAGUGAAAUGUCUAGUUCUGAAAAAGCUUGUGAAAUGAUGCAAAAGUUGAAGGAAUCUUUGUAUGAAUUGUUUGAUGAGUAUAAGCCUCCACUCCAUAGUACUUGUAGCCAAUCGAGUGUGUCAACACAUGUUUCUAUUGGUGAACCAUAACAAAAAAUGAAAAGGCAAAUGCAAGCUUUGUAUAAAAAGCGUGAGUUGGAAAUUUGUGGUGAGGAUAAAACAUCUGAGUUGGAUAAGUAUCUAGCUGAGGCUAAUGAAGAAUUUGUUGAAGAUUUUGAUAUUUUAUUGUGGUGGAAAGUGAACAGCCCUAGAUUUCCCACUCUUUCAAAAAUUGCCAGAGAUGUGUUAGCUAUACCGGUUUCUACGGUUGCUUCAGAGUCUGCAUUUAGCAUCGGAGGACGUGUGCUUGAUCAAUAUAGGAGUUCUUUAACUCCUAAAAUUGUACAAGCUCUUGUGUGUACUCAAGAUUGGAUUCGAAGAUCAUCAUCACAAGAAGACAUAAAAAAGAUUGAAGAACAAAUCCAAGAGCUUGACAAGAUUGAAAAUGGUAUGUUUAUUGUUUUAUUUUAAUAAUUUCAAUUUUUUUACCAUAUCACUCUUACUUAUUUAAUUGAUUCAAUGUUUAGACAUUUCUUGGAAUGCAUUAGAGCUUCAUGAGCUUUCGUGAGUUGAAGGGUAUGCUUACUACUAUCUUAUUCUUGUUGAUUUAUAAUCUAUUCGUUUGUUUAUAUUAUUUGAGUUUUUUUUAAAUGCGUAUAUUUCUAUUAUAUGCUAAAUUUUUGCUCAUGGUUUUUUUUAGGUUUAAUGCAAAUGGAGAUAUUUUGGAGAGAUGAAAUGAAUAUAUUUUGGAAAGAUGAAAUGGAUAUAAAUGGAGAAUGUUAAAAACAUACAUUUCAAUUAUGUUUUAAUUCAAGACUUGUGUAAUAUUUUUAAUUAUGUAGUGAUUCAAAGACUUAUGUAAUAUUUUUAAUUAUGUAGUGAUUCAAAGAUUUAUGUAAUGUUUUUAAUUAUGUAGUGAUUUAAUUAAGGUAAUUUUCAGGUAAUUCGGGUAAUUUGGGUAAUUUUCGGGUAAUUCGAGUAAUUCGGGUAAGUCGGGUAAUUCGGGUAAGUCGGGUAAUUCGGGUAAUUCGGGUAAUUUUUAACCAAAAAUGAAUAACACAUAUUUUUCGGUUAAUUCGGUUAACCGACCUUAUUAACCGAAAAAAAUUUCGGUUCGGUUAAUUAUUUUUAAAAAAAUUCGAUUCGGUUAACGGUUAAAAAAUUUGAGAGGUCGGUUAAUUCGGUUGCAAGAAUUUCGAGUCGAUUAACCGGUCGGUUAACCGACUGAACACCCCUACUAGGCUGGCCAUGGAGGUCCUUAAAAGAAAAAUGAGAGGAUUUUUGUUUUU
Molecule: long non-coding RNA, 5572 nt
Filed under: Gossypium barbadense (sea-island cotton)
Lineage: Eukaryota; Viridiplantae; Streptophyta; Magnoliopsida; Malvales; Malvaceae
Description: long non-coding RNA (GBAR_LNC001918)
Source: RNAcentral